CCUACGGGUGGCAGCAGUGAGGAAUAUUGGUCAAUGGGCGUAAGUCUGAACCAGCCAAGUAGCGUGAAGGAUGACUGUUCUAUGGGUUGUAAACCUCUUUUAUAAGGGAAUAAAACGCGGGACGUGUCCCGUUUUGCAUGUACUUUAUGAAUAAGGAUCGGCUAACUCCGUGCCAGCAGCCGCGGUAAUACGGAGGAUCCGAGCGUUAUCCGGAUUUAUUGGGUUUAAAGGUUGCGUAGGUGGGUUGUUAAGUCAGUGGUGAAAGUUUGUGGCUCAACCAUAAAAUUGCAAUUGAUACUGGCAGUCUUGAGUACGGUUGAGGCAAGCGGAAUGCGUGGUGUAGCGGUGAAAUGCUUAGAUAUCACGAAGAACCCCGAUUGCGAAGGCAGCUUACCAAGCCAUGACUGACGCUGAUGCUCGAAAGUGUGGGGAUCAAACAGGAUUAGAUACCCUAGUAGUC
RNAcentral lists this ribosomal RNA (460 nucleotides) under uncultured bacterium. RNAcentral's name for it is "partial 16S ribosomal RNA". It matches the Rfam family "Bacterial small subunit ribosomal RNA", at positions 338 to 795 of the family's 1533-position model. The record is from RNAcentral.